This 872-nucleotide unclassified non-coding RNA is filed under the name Hevea brasiliensis (rubber tree). Lineage: Eukaryota; Viridiplantae; Streptophyta; Magnoliopsida; Malpighiales; Euphorbiaceae. The record is from RNAcentral.
AAAGCUUCUCCAAAAAAUAAAAAUGGCUGCCACUAUGAGUUUGACUAAAAACUUCACUACCUUUUCUAUUCCUCAAUCCUUUCACCCUCAAAAUGGAACUCAAAUUGGCCGGCACUUACAGCGCAUUCCCAAUUCCAAUUACAGUGUUCCAAGUGUCAGAUUACACAGAUUUGGGUCCAGAAUCGAAAACGAUGGUCCCCGAAAAAUCGGCCGGGUGCAGAUUCGAGCGAUGUCGGGUUCAUUCGGGUCCCGAUUGGAGGAGAGCGUGAAAAAGACUAUUACGGAAAACCCAGUAGUUGUCUACUCCAAGAGUUGGUGUUCGUACUCAACUGAGGUGAAAGUUUUGUUCAAGAGACUUGGUGUAGAUCCUCUUGUUAUUGAAUUGGACGAAAUGGGUCCCCAAGGACCACAACUGCAGAAAGUACUGGAAAGGCUUACUGGACAGCAUACGGUUCCCAAUGUAUUCAUUGGGGCCAAACACAUAGGUGGUUGCACAGACACGAUUAAGCUGUAUCGGAAAGGAGAACUUGAAUCUUUGCUAUCGGAAGCUAAAGCUGGGAAAACAGAGAGCUAGGCCCUCUUGAGCUAUCCAUGCCAAGUGAUCCUAUCUCAUGCUCUCCUUGUACGCAUUAUUCUUCCAGAUCUCUGAUAUAUUUAUUAUGUUGUUCCAUUACAAGUAAAUCUUGCUUCUGAUUGGGAAACUCAUUGUUGAAGCAGGAAUCUAUGUUGAUAUAACUUCAUUCAUGAGUUUAUUACUGAAUUUCUUCCUUCCUCAAAGACUGGUUUUGUACUUUGCAAUAUUGACCAGCACUUGCACUUUUCUUAUUUAUGAGAAACUAUAUCAAUUGAAAACGAAAUAAGAUUUGGUGUUU